This 86-nucleotide transfer RNA is filed under the name Gammaproteobacteria bacterium TMED234. RNAcentral describes it as "tRNA-Leu". It matches the Rfam family "tRNA". Rfam says of the family: Transfer RNA (tRNA) molecules are approximately 80 nucleotides in length. Lineage: Bacteria; Pseudomonadati; Pseudomonadota; Gammaproteobacteria. The record is from RNAcentral.
GCCUGAGUGCCGGAAUCGGUAGACGGAUCGGACUUAAAAUCCGCUGACUUGUAAAAGUCGUGCGAGUUCAAGUCUCGCCUUAGGCA